CAAAACUAUAAAAGCGAUCUCAGUUCGGACUGCAGGCUGCAACUCGCCUGCACGAAGUUGGAAUUGCUAGUAAUCGUGGAUCAGCAUGCCACGGUGAAUACGUUCCCGGGUCUUGUACACACCGCCCGUCACACCAUGGGAGUUGAUAGCACCCGAAAGUGGUGAGGUAACCGCAAGGAGCCAGCCGCCUAAGGUGAGAUCAAUGACUGGGGUGAAGUCGUAACAAGGUACC
RNAcentral lists this ribosomal RNA (232 nucleotides) under uncultured bacterium. Its description in RNAcentral is "partial 16S ribosomal RNA". It matches the Rfam family "Bacterial small subunit ribosomal RNA", at positions 1268 to 1500 of the family's 1533-position model. The record is from RNAcentral.